CAGGGUACUCGAGUGGCGAACGGGUGAGUAACACGUGGGUGAUCUGCCCUGCACUUCGGGAUAAGCUUGGGAAACUGGGUCUAAUACCGGAUAGGAACCAUCUUUAGUGUGGUGGUUGGAAAGUUUUUUCGGUGUAGGAUGAGCUCGCGGCCUAUCAGCUUGUUGGUGGGGUAAUGGCCUACCAAGGCGGCGACGGGUGGCCGGCCUGAGAGGGUGUACGGCCACAUUGGGACUGAGAUACGGCCCAG
RNAcentral lists this ribosomal RNA (248 nucleotides) under uncultured Actinomycetales bacterium. RNAcentral describes it as "partial 16S ribosomal RNA". It matches the Rfam family "Bacterial small subunit ribosomal RNA", at positions 83 to 334 of the family's 1533-position model. Lineage: Bacteria; Bacillati; Actinomycetota; Actinomycetes; Actinomycetales. The record is from RNAcentral.